Molecule: long non-coding RNA, 1467 nt
Organism: Dermochelys coriacea (leatherback sea turtle)
Lineage: Eukaryota; Metazoa; Chordata; Testudines; Dermochelyidae
Exons: 3
Source: RefSeq, a predicted model, not a curated record
CUCCGCUCGCACGCGGCUGCAGCCCCCGCGGCCGUGACUGGCCUGCGGACGGGGGUCCGCCCGGGCAGGGGCUGGAGCCGUCACAGCGCUCCCUUGGGCGGCGGGCUAACGCCUUUCCCGUUCACCGCCGCCCCGGCACAUCCCUGCAGGUGCGAUGCCGGAUCCCGCCCACCCAAAGGUUGCCUUGAGCGCCUUGCGUGCCCUGCGGACUGGGUAUGGUUGGGACUUCAGAUAUUUUUGAAUCUGGGAGGGGCUGUGGCUGUGGGACAGACGGAAAAGUAUUUGCUGUAUGAAGGCACCUGACAGUUCAUUCCAUUUCAUGUGCUGUGAAUUCUGGGGCCCAACCCCAAACCUGAAAACAUCUUCCAUUCAUCAUACUUAGGAAGGAGCAUCCACACAUAAGUCAAAGAAACUCUACAAUUUAUUAGAAGUAAUUAAAAUAUUUUAAAAAAGAAAUGUCACCCAACAAUAUUUAAAAUAUAAUGGGACUGAAUCCAUGAACAAUGACUAAACGUUACAGUCUGCUGCACCCAUCUUUUUUCCCCUCUCACUGAGAAGGGGCAAUAACUGGGGAAAUUGUUCUUGGGACAACUAGGGACAUCUCCUGCAUGGGGCUUAUGGGGAUUGAUGGGGUUCAGGACCCCCCACAGGCUCAUCAUUCCCCUCCUGGAGACCCAGGGGGUCCCCAUGCAAACAAUUUCAGGUGCCAGUGGAAGGUGUGGUUCCAAGUAUGCUGCAGACUCCAUGUUCUCCUCUUGGUCACUCGGAAGAUAUAAGCAAGGAGAGAAGCCAUCUUUAGGAUUUGCCACUAGACACAAGGGAAAAGAGCUCUUGCAAGUAAAUCCAAUGAUACAUCUGUCUGUUUUAAAAAGCAACUGCUACCAUUAUGGACCUGAAGGGUGCCCCCUCAUACCCAUAUGAUGCCUGAUCCUGACGAGAACAAAGAGGACUAGGGAGGACAUGUUCAGGGAGAUCCUGCAAGCCAGUACUGCAUUGUGUUGGACUAUGAAAAGAGCCUGAAGGGCCAACAUGGCAGAUGACAUGGAGAAGGAAAGAAGAGACAGAAAGGCCCGGGAAUUGCAAUGGAAAAAGAAGAGGGAGUUGCAACCGGACAUAAUGGGUCUUCUCAAGCUGCACACCCUGGUUGACCUGCAAGUCCAAAAAUCCUGGACUUCCCACCCUAUGGAGUCCUUAGAGAACUCUAAGAUAUCAGCCCCCUACACACUUCAGCAUACCACGUGACAUCACAGGCUGCAUUCUGGCCCCUACCAUUUCAUGCUGGUAGAUAGCAAGGAAAACCACAGCUUCACAUUGUGACGUUCUGCACUUCAUGGGAACAGCCGACACUCCCAUGUUCAUCCUUAUAAAAUGAUUGUGUGGUAUCCAAUGCAAAGUUUGUCAUGUCAGGUGUCUUCGGAAGGUUCAUGAUGUACUGAGCAUUGUUGUUAUAGUAAUGUUACUAUAAUG